ACAACAUAAGCUCCAGCUUCAAGAAAAGACAAAACAAGCCUUCAGAUUAGCCUCAAGAACCAUUGCAGGCAUUUUUAUAACCACUGCUGUAUUUGGGUAAAUCAGAUUACCCUCUUUAUUAACAAUCAAUUUUUGGUGAAUCCAGUCUCGCCCAUGCAGUGUUGGUGGAAUGAUAAAUGGAACACUUCUGGAUCUGUUCAAGACAACAGCGCCUAUUGAUUCUUCUGGUUUAAAUGUGGAAACCAAACUUUGUAAGAGUAGUAAAUUUACUGUUCUUAUGUCACAAUAUUAAAAUUCUAUGGACAUGCAAAGGAUUGAUGAGCUUUUCGUAAGAAAAGAGGCGGAAAAAUUUUUUCCAGAGCAGAUACGCCGUUAUUCCAAGGAGAACAAAGAAAAGGAUUCCUCCUAUUAUACCUCCUGCCACAGCAACUGCUUGUUCUGUUCAAACAUAAAAGCACAUAUAACAUCACAGGAAGAGCAAAGUGUAUUUUGUGAGUAGACAGGAAUAUUAAAGCUAACAAAAACCAUUCCAAAAUUAUUUUUAAAUGAAGUAUUCGGCUCACGUGCACAUUUUUCUUGGUUAUAGCAUGGUGCAGCACCUGAAGACAUAUGACAAUGACAGUGACAGAUUACAGUUCAGAAGCACUGGCACUUACUGGAAUGUAAGAAACUACAGACAUGAAAAAAACCCAAGUGCCAAAGAAUUGUUCAGGCUCUUGUUUUGCAUUAGCAUUUACCUUAGCAUGGCAGAAGUGCUGGAGCUUGCAUAAUGGAAGAAAAAGAGAACCCAGGAACACCUAAUAUGAAAGUUUUGCAGGGCAUCCUCGAAUAUGUCUUCAGUCAGACUCACAUUUUAUUGCAUCCCAGAAGGCCAGAUGCAGAAAAAAUGCUUCCGUUUAAUCCCAUGAACAUAAUAGAAAUGAAUGAUUUCCUUCAUGUAGGUGCAUUAUAAACAACACAAAUAUCUAUUUGGCUGGUAGUUUUACUGUCUGACAUAAGUAUCUGAAAGGUUUACAUUUCAAGCAAGCUGUACAGGUCUUUGUUGAACUUGUCCUCUUCAUUCACAAGUCUUUUAUGCUCUCAGCAGCAGUCCUGUGUUUCUCUAUAGCCAGUUUGUCACCAUUUACCAUUAAAGACAGUAAGAUGAGGUGUGCAUUGGUUUUGGAAUAAGAGAAUGAGUUUCCAGCCUCUUAGUUUGUAUGUUCUGAAUUUGUUCACUGUAGAACAGUGAUGUUAAGAUUUUAAG
Long non-coding RNA from Poecile atricapillus (Black-capped chickadee), 1246 nucleotides. RefSeq lists it as uncharacterized. The record is from RefSeq and is a predicted model, not a curated record. NCBI's taxonomy places the organism in Eukaryota, Metazoa, Chordata, Aves, Passeriformes, Paridae. The transcript is spliced from 4 exons.